GGGCGCACGGGUGCGUAACACGUAUGCAACCUACCUAUUAUUGGGGGAUAGCCUUUGGAAACGGAGAUUAAUACCGCAUAAUACGAUUGACUGGCAUCGGUUGAUUGUUAAAGCUUCGGCGAUAAUAGAUGGGCAUGCGUCCAAUUAGUUAGUUGGUUAGGUAACGGCUGACCAAGACGAUGAUUGGUAGGGGAUCUGAGAGGAUAAUCCCCCACACUGGCACUGGGAUACGGGCCAGACUCCUACGGGAGGCAGCAGUAGGGAAUAUUGGGCAAUGGGCGGAAGCCUGACCCAGCCAUGCCGCGUGCAGGAAGAAGGCGUUAUGCGUUGUAAACUGCUUUUUUAUAGGAAGAAGGAUCCCUUGCGAGGGAAGGUGACGGUACUAUAAGAAUAAGCACCGGCUAACUCCGUGCCAGCAGCCGCGGUAAUACGGAGGGUGCAAGCGUUGUCCGGAUUUAUUGGGUUUAAAGGGUGCGUAGGCGGUUUAUUAAGUCAGUGGUGAAAGACGGUCGCUCAGCGAUUGCAGUGCCAUUGAUACUGGUAGACUUGAGUGAGAUUGAGGUAGCUGGAAUGGAUAGUGUAGCGGUGAAAUGCAUAGAUAUUAUCCAGAACACCGAUUGCGAAGGCAGGUUACUAAGUCUUAACUGACGCUGAGGCACGAAAGUGUGGGGAUCAAACAGGAUUAGAUACCCUGGUAGUCCACACUGUAAACGAUGAUGACUAACUGUUGGCUUUAGGGUCAGUGGUACAGAGAAAUCAUUAAGUCAUCCACCUGGGGAGUACGCCGGCAACGGUGAAACUCA
Molecule: ribosomal RNA, 803 nt
Filed under: uncultured bacterium
Lineage: Bacteria
Description: bacterial SSU rRNA
Rfam family: Bacterial small subunit ribosomal RNA
Source: RNAcentral